AGAAUCAUUGCUUAUUUAUAGGCAACAAUCAACCUUAGUGUGAACAGGUGAACAGGAGGCAGCUGCAACUUUUCCUUGCUUGUUCAAGCUUGGUUCUUUUUUUUCAAAUAUGGUGGCCACUGAUCAGGGAGGAAAGUACUAUAAAAAUGAUGGCCUAUUCUCUUGCAGGCUUUCCCAGAAUUUCCGCGUGUGCAAGUGGAGUCUUCUUCUUCAUGGUUGCGGCUUCUCUUAGAAUUUUCACGUCCCCCAUUUAAUGCGUGCAUGUGCAGGCAUUAAUGAGGGAGAGACAAUGGACGUGAAGCACUCUUCUUUCUUCUAUUUUUCUGACUUUCAUUGUGUGUUUUCAUACCAGCAAGAGAGA
This 361-nucleotide long non-coding RNA is filed under the name Eucalyptus grandis. Its description in RNAcentral is "long non-coding RNA (EGRA_LNC002519)". Lineage: Eukaryota; Viridiplantae; Streptophyta; Magnoliopsida; Myrtales; Myrtaceae. The record is from RNAcentral.